RNAcentral lists this non-coding RNA (31 nucleotides) under Mus musculus (house mouse). The record is from RNAcentral. Lineage: Eukaryota; Metazoa; Chordata; Mammalia; Rodentia; Muridae.
UACACCUCUCUGAAGAUGUGCUGUGCUCUGU